RNAcentral lists this ribosomal RNA (207 nucleotides) under uncultured bacterium. Its description in RNAcentral is "partial 16S ribosomal RNA". It matches the Rfam family "Bacterial small subunit ribosomal RNA", at positions 568 to 774 of the family's 1533-position model. The record is from RNAcentral.
UGUCGAGGCGGUUAUGUUAGUCUUUCGUAAAAUCUACGAGCUUAACUUGUAGUGGGCGAGGGAAACGGCAUAACUUGAGGUUGGGAGAGGUGUGUGGAACUCACGGUGUAGGGGUGAAAUCCGUUGAUAUCGUGGGGAACACCAAAGGCGAAGGCAGCACACUGGCCCAAUUCUGACGCUCACACACGAAAGCUAGGGUAGCGAACG